Molecule: ribosomal RNA, 253 nt
Filed under: uncultured bacterium
Lineage: Bacteria
Description: partial 16S ribosomal RNA
Rfam family: Bacterial small subunit ribosomal RNA
Source: RNAcentral
UACGUAGGGGGCAAGCGUUGUCCGGAUUUAUUGGGCGUAAAGAGCGUGUAGGCGGUCAUGCAGGUCCGUUGUGAAAACUCGAGGCUCAACCUCGAGACGCCGGUGGAAACCGUGUGGCUAGAGUCCGGAAGAGGAGAGUGGAAUUCCUGGUGUAGCGGUGAAAUGCGCAGAUAUCAGGAAGAACACCCGUGGCGAAGGCGGCUCUCUGGGACGGUACUGACGCUGAGACGCGAAAGCGUGGGGAGCGAACAGG